AGUGAACGCUGGCGGUAGGCCUAACACAUGCAAGUCGAACGGCAGCACAGGAGAGCUUGCUCUCUGGGUGGCGAGUGGCGGACGGGUGAGGAAUACAUCGGAAUCUACUCUGUCGUGGGGGAUAACGUAGGGAAACUUACGCUAAUACCGCAUACGACCUACGGGUGAAAGCAGGGGACCUUCGGGCCUUGCGCGAUUGAAUGAGCCGAUGUCGGAUUAGCGAGUUGGCGGGGUAAGGGCCCACCAAGGCGACGAUCCGUAGCUGGUCUGAGAGGAUGAUCAGCCACACUGGAACUGAGACACGGUCCAGAAUCCUACGGGAGGCAGCAGUGGGGAAUAUUGGACAAUGGGCGCAAGCCUGAUCCAGCCAUACCGCGUGGGUGAAGAAGGCCUUCGGGUCGUAAAGCCCUUUUGUUGGGAAAGAAAUCCAGCUGGCUAAUACCCGGUUGGGAUGACGGUACCCAAAGAAUAAGCACCGGCUAACUUCGUGCCAGCCGCCGCCGUAA
Molecule: ribosomal RNA, 506 nt
Filed under: uncultured bacterium
Lineage: Bacteria
Description: partial 16S ribosomal RNA
Rfam family: Bacterial small subunit ribosomal RNA
Source: RNAcentral